This 4047-nucleotide small RNA is filed under the name Pongo abelii (Sumatran orangutan). RNAcentral's name for it is "retained intron". The record is from RNAcentral. Lineage: Eukaryota; Metazoa; Chordata; Mammalia; Primates; Hominidae.
GAUUUCUCCGUCCUGAACGUGCAGCGGGUCUUCCUGCUCUGUUUCCCAGGCUGGAGUGCAAUGGUACCAUCAUAGCUCACUGCAGCCUUAAACUUCCAGGCUCAAGUGAUCCUCCUGCCUCAGCCUCCCAAUGCAUUGGGAUUACAGGUGUGAGUCCCUGCAUCCGGCCAGGAUGUAUGCGAGCUUUAUUUAGGUUUAGCCCCUGCCCUAGAAUGCAAGCUCCCCCAGGGAUCUUUGUCUGCCUGACUCAAUAUUUAUCUCAAGGACUUAGUGCUCAAUAUAUAUCUUUGAGUGGGUGAAAAACAAGUGGUCUUAAAAAGAAAGGAGGUGAGCCCAGAGAGAUAAGGUCGCAUUCAGUGCCUGUGCUUGGUCAGCCAUGACCCUGCACCGUGUGAGUGACACUGGGACUGGAGCAAAGGGACACAGCAGAGUUGCCCCUGGUGCCCAGGACCCAGCAGAGCUCUCGGACUGGUUGCCAGCCAGCAAUAGUGGCUAUGCCCAUGUGGGAGACACAGCUUGCCUUAGACUUCAGCAGGUUCUACCAUGUCCGGCACAGCCAUUUCCAUCCUUCCCAGGGGUGUUUACACGAUCCUGGCAGUCUCAGUCAGACUUCCAAACUCAGCAGGGAAUGUGUGUGCUUGUCCUCUAAUCUCAACAACCUGGGGUGCAGUGUCAGGUGCAAGUCAGAGAGACCACUGGAGACCCGAUUCCCAGCCCUGGGCUGGGGCCCCCACAAGGCCUGCAGCAUCUCCCCAUGGCCCAGUUUCCUCAUCUGCAGGACAGGCUCUCUGGAAAAUUUGGGGAGAUGAUAGACCCAAAAGCAUUCUGGAGCCAGAGGCUUCUGCCUUCGUCGGGGGCAUCAGGGAGUGUCAGUCAUGAAUUCACCACGACUUCUGACCACCUCUGCCUGGACUCCCUCACCUCAGCGCUGCCUAAGCUAGGUAACCACCAACUUCCUGGGCCUUCACCCCCCAGGGCCUUCCUCUCCAGUGAUGCGCCUGGAAAGAGGGAUUUCUCUUUGCAAAGGUCUCUGGAAUUGCCAAGUUAUGGCUUUAAGCAUAUGUAGGGAAACUCCCUCCCCUUUGCACUUUUAGAGUUUUUUUCCAGCCCUCAAUAGAAAUCAAUACAGUGACCAGGCUGCCCUUUUCACCACCCUCCCAGGCUCCUGAGGACCCUGGUGGAAGAUGGACGAAGCACAUCCUGGGCAUUGGGGACAGGCAUCAGCUCCUCAAGCUUGGACAGGGACAGGGACAGGGGUGGGGCAGCGCUGCAGGAGGCGGGGCCUUGGGCUGAUUUUCUUGCUGUACUACUUUCAGUCACUACGUACCUGUUAUGGGUUGAACUAGGCCUCCUGUAUUAGUCAGGGUUCUCUAGAGCGACAGAACUAAUGGAAUAUAAAUAAAUAAAUAUAUACAUGUAUAUGGAAGUUUAUUAAGUAUGAAUUUACAGGAUCACAAGGUCCACAAUAAGCAAUCUGCAGCCUGAGGAGCAAGGGGAGCCAGUGUGAGUCCCAAAAACUGAAGAACUUGGAGUCCAAUGUUCUAGGGCAGGAAGCAUCCAGCAUGGGAGAAAGAUGUAGGCUGGGAGGCUAAGCCAGCCUCUCUUUUCACAUUUUUCUGCCUGCUUUAUAUUCUAGCUGUGCUGACAGCUGAUUAGAUGGUGCCCACCUAGGCUGAAUGUGGAUCUGCCUUUCCAAGCCGCUGACUCAAAUGUUAAUCUCCUUUGGCAACACCCUCACAGACACACCCAGGAUCAGUACUUUGCAUCCUUCAACCCAAUCAAGUUGACACUCAGUAUUAACCAUUACACCCCUCAAAUGUAUAUGUUCAAAUCCUAACUCAGAACCUCUGAAUGUGACCUUAUUUGGAAAUAGGGUCUUUGCAGAUGUAAUUAAAGACGAAGUUGUUUUACAGUAGGGUGGGCCCUAAUCCAAUAUGACUGGUGUCCUUGUAAAAAAGGAAAAUUUGUUUGGUUGUUUAACUUCUAUUUUAGGUUCAGGGGUCCAUGUGCAGGUUUGUUACAUGGGUAAAUUGUGUCGUGGGAGUUUAGUGUACACAUUAUUUCAUCACUCAGGUAAUAAGCAUAGUAUCUAAUAGAUAGUUUUUUGCUCCUCUCCUUCCUCCCACCCUCUACCCUUGAGUACUCCCAGGUGUCUCUUGUUCUCUUCUUUGUGACCAUGUGUAUUUAAUGUUUAGCUCCCACUAAUAAUUGAGAACAUGUAGUAUUUGGUUUUCUGUUACUAGAUUAGUUUGCUUAGGAUUAUGGCCUCCAGUUCCAUCUAUGUUCCUGCAAAGGACAUGAUCUCAUUCUUUUUGAUGGUUGCAUAGUAUUCCAUAGUGUAUAUGUACCACUUUUUUUAUCCAGUCUACCAUUGAUGGCCAUUUAGGUUGAUUCCAUGUCUUUGCUAUUGUAAUGGUGCUGCCAUGAACAUUCGUCUGCAUGUGUCUUUAUGGUAGAAUGAUUUCUAUUCCUUUGGGUACAUAUCCAGUAAUGGGAUUGCUGGGUCGAAUGGUAAUUCUGUUUAAGUUCUUUGAGGAGUCACCACACUGCUUUCCACAUGGCUGAACUAAUUUACACUCCCACCAGCAGUGCAAAAGUGUUCCCCAAAAGGGGACAUUUGGACACAGACACGCAGAAGCCCACUCCUGCCUCCUCAGUCAGCCUGGAUUUGUCUCAGUCGCCCCCGCUCACCUCUCACACGUGUGCACCCUCACACUGCUUCAGCAUCUGCCAGUCCUCCGGCCUUUGCUCUUAGAGCAGAGAUUCUAGCCUUUCUCCAUUUGGGUUUCCCUGAGUGGUUCUGUAGUUCAUUUAUGGUGCCCGCCACCCAAAAUAAAUUCCUGGCAGUUCUGUUUACUAAUUAGGUAGGUCCAAACAACUCAGUAAUAGUAGACUGGGUGGUGUCCAACAGCUGCCUUCAUGUAUCGCUGGGAAAUCUUAAAGAUCCCAUAGUGCCCUGUGAGUUUGCUGAAAUACCCCAGAUGCACAGUUUGGGAAACAUAGUCUUACAGAUUUGAUGAAUUCCCUUUUUGCACCUGUAUAUCACUCACGGGGCUGAUCUGUAACUAGGUGUGCUAGUCCAUUCGUGUCAUGAUAGAGCUAAACCUGAGACUGAGUAACUUACAAACAAAAGAGGUUUCGCCGGGCACAGUGGCUCACGCCUGUAAUCCCAACACUUUGGGAGGCCGAGGCGGGUGGGUCACCUGAGGUCAGGAGUUCGAGACCAGCCUGACCAACAUGGAGAAACCUCAUCUCUACUAAAAAUACAAAAUUAGCUGGGCAUGGUGGUGCAUGCUUGUAAUCCCAGCUACUGGGGCAGGCAGAGGUGCUUCUCAGAUGCUUUGGGUCCUGCCAUUGAAAGGAAAGAGAAGUCCCUUCCCUGGGAGAGCCUCAGUGAUCCCUGCACAAGACCAGCCAUCUUCCUUCACCCCAUAUUGUUCAUCCCUGGCACCCUGUGUUGUGCGUGGAGUCGCUUGUUUUUCUCUAUCUUAUCAGGAACCAGUUCAAGGUUCCUAACCUGGUCUGAUCCCGGCACCCUGUCCUGCUACACAAGAAACCCUGAUGCUGAUACAUAUAUGUCUUAACAUUGCCCUUCCAGAGCCUCUCCAGCUGUGACUCACUGCUGACAGGGCAACCCCCACCCCCUGGACUCCUUGCUCAACCCACAAAGACUAUCUCUUGCGUACCCUGCUCUAAGGUGUUUUAAAAAGCACCACCAUAAAACUGUAACACAAGAACGAAACCCAACAAGAAUCAGGGGGACAGGAACCAAGGAACAUGAAAUCACGUGAGAACUAAGGGCCGCUCUGAUUGACCAUAGCAUUUGGCUCUCAGCCUCCCACGGCUGAGGCUGAGGGAGGAUAAGACAAUUGUCUCUCUCACUCUUGAAGAAGAGGGAGCUCCUGGAUUCACCAGGAGAGCAAAUUUGACUAGCUUGGACUUCUGCAAGGUAAUUUGUUGUGAUUGCAUAUUAAGGAGACUAAUCUUAACAUAAUCUUAACAUAAUUUCUUUAUAUUAAGGAGAUUAAAUAAAUCUAUGGACAUGUU